This is a long non-coding RNA of Carassius auratus (goldfish), 564 nucleotides long. RefSeq lists it as uncharacterized. The transcript is spliced from 2 exons. NCBI's taxonomy places the organism in Eukaryota, Metazoa, Chordata, Actinopteri, Cypriniformes, Cyprinidae. The record is from RefSeq and is a predicted model, not a curated record.
UUCCAAAGCCUUUAAGAUCCUGGGCUGGAAACACGUGUGACAUUCGAGGAGCUUGUUAAAGAAAUGGUGGACGAGGACAUCAAGCUCAUGCGGAACAACCCGAAUGCCUGAGCCCACACGCCUUCAUCUCCAUGCAUGCCAAAGAGGCGGUUGUCGUGUUUGUGUGUGUGUGAUCACUGGAAGAAGCAUUCAGCUGCAUUUUUUUUUCUCUCCUGCUUCAGCUUUCUGAUCUCAGUUUCACUGUGUUUUUUUAGGGUGCCCUGUGUUGCCUUUCUCUGUUACUGUCAUAUUUUAAGGUUAUAUGUAUGGAUUUUUAGUUUGUGUUGUCUAAAUGAUUUGUAUCCAUUUUUAUAAAGUGUUUUUUAUUCAUAAUCAUGAAAACAAAAUAUUUGUAAAUAAGGGAGUAAAGGGUUUUUAGAGCUUUUUUAAGGUGCUUGCUGUUUAAUUCAUGUCAUUGUAGUUUAAGGAAUCACAUUAAUCUGGUGGAACAUAAAAAAAUUUGUUUCCUGAUUAAUUAAAAUGCAAAUGCAAAAUAUGACAUUUUAUAAAUUAGUUGUGUGCAAA